This 229-nucleotide non-coding RNA is filed under the name Bacillus manliponensis. RNAcentral's name for it is "T-box sequence". It matches the Rfam family "T-box leader". Rfam says of the family: Uncharged tRNA acts as the effector for transcription antitermination of genes in the T-box leader family. T-boxes are found upstream of many aminoacyl-tRNA synthetase genes and some amino acid biosynthetic genes usually in Gram-positive bacteria. The anticodon of a specific tRNA base pairs to a specifier sequence within the T-box motif, and the NCCA acceptor tail of the tRNA base pairs to a conserved bulge in the T-box antiterminator hairpin. The record is from RNAcentral. Lineage: Bacteria; Bacillati; Bacillota; Bacilli; Caryophanales; Bacillaceae.
UUAAAUGUUACGAUGAGGACAUGAGUAAUUUUCUACGAUUCUCAGAGAGGGGAGCCUUAGGCUGUGAGCUUCCUAAUACGGGUUCAUUACUUACCACCUCUGAACUUCAGCAGUGAACGGAAUAUCUAGUAAUUGCUGACGGCAACAGCCGUUAUGAUGAACUUGAGCAGCUAACCUGAUAGUUAGCUGAAACAAGGGUGGAACCACGAAUUCAACACUCGUCCCUUUU